CGUCCCCGCAGGCAGCGGCUGGUGGCGCGGAGCCUGGCGGCGAUGCCGGCGGCGGUGGCGGCCUGGCGGCAGGAGCGGGCGGAGGCGCGGGAGCGGAGGCUGCGGGAGGCCGCCCGGCGGCAGCGGCUGCUGGCGGAGGCGGGGGCGCGCCUGGGGGCCCCCCCCCGGCCCGGAGACCCCCGGGCGCAGGCGCUGCUGCAGGACCUGGAGCGGGAGGAACGGCGCCGCGAGAAGCGGCAGCGGCGGCAGGAGCGCGAGGAGGCCGCGCGCAGCGCCCUGGCCGCCGCCGAGGCCGCGGCCUCCCAACGCCCCCCCGGUGCUCCCGGGGCGGGAGAGGCCCCCCCGUAGCAGCGCCAAACGGAGACCCCAACCCCCCCCCAAAACAGGAGCGGGAUGGGGGUGUGCCCCCCAAAAUCCCUCGGGGGGCGCUGGGCCGACUGCCCCCCCUCAGCCCGAAGCAGCCCCAAAAGGCCCGUUUCCUUCCCCAAAAGGCCCCGUUCUUCCCCCAAGAGGCCGCCUCCUUUCCCCAAAAUCUCUCCUUUUUCCCCCAAAAGCUCUGGGCGCUUGCACGCGGGCCGGGUUUAAAAUUCUGCGUUUAAUCUCUUUCCCCGAGCUGUUUCCUUUGUGUUCUGGUUUUUUUUUUUUGUUUUUUUUUUUAAUCUCCCGCGGGGCCACCCUCCCCCCCCCAGGGCCAAAUGGGGGAGGGGAAUUUGGGGAGGGGGGGAGGAAUUCAGGGGGAGGGGGGGGCACAGGGAGGAAGCGUUUGUCCGGAGCGGGCCCUGGGGGGGGGCUGCACCCAUCGCUGCCCCUCCCUCGGGACGUGGUGGGGCCCAAGGGGGGGGUCCCGGCCUCGCCCCUCCCCGUGGCCCCCCCCCAGGGGCGAGGCUGUGCAGCCUCUGGGGGGGGUGUGGGGGGGUUCCCGGCCCCCCCCCGGCGUCGGUCUCAGUCGUCGUCGAAGUUCUGGCUGAGCAGGAAGUUGGCCGCCAGGUUCUCGUUCUUCUCGCAGGCGAAGUAGGCCUGGAUCACCAGGCUCUCGGGGAAGCCCAGCGCCUUCNNNNNNNNNNNNNNN
This 1069-nucleotide long non-coding RNA is filed under the name Anser brachyrhynchus (Pink-footed goose). Its description in RNAcentral is "lncRNA (ENSABRG00000010334.1)". Lineage: Eukaryota; Metazoa; Chordata; Aves; Anseriformes; Anatidae. The record is from RNAcentral.